Molecule: transfer RNA, 84 nt
Filed under: Calditrichia bacterium
Lineage: Bacteria; Pseudomonadati; Calditrichota; Calditrichia
Also listed under: 1 other name
Description: tRNA-Leu
Rfam family: tRNA
About the family: Transfer RNA (tRNA) molecules are approximately 80 nucleotides in length. Their secondary structure includes four short double-helical elements and three loops (D, anti-codon, and T loops). Further hydrogen bonds mediate the characteristic L-shaped molecular structure. tRNAs have two regions of fundamental functional importance: the anti-codon, which is responsible for specific mRNA codon recognition, and the 3' end, to which the tRNAs corresponding amino acid is attached (by aminoacyl-tRNA synthetases). tRNAs cope with the degeneracy of the genetic code in two manners: having more than one tRNA (with a specific anti-codon) for a particular amino acid; and 'wobble' base-pairing, i.e. permitting non-standard base-pairing at the 3rd anti-codon position.
Source: RNAcentral
GCUGGAGUGGUGAAACUGGCAGACACGCUAUCUUGAGGGGGUAGUGCCCGUCAGGGCGUGCGGGUUCGAGUCCCGCCUCCAGCA